CCAGACUCCUACGGGAGGCAGCAGUGGGGGAUAUUGCACAAUGGAGGGAACUCUGAUGCAGCGACGCCGCGUGAGGGAAGAAGGUUUUCGGAUUGUAAACCUCUGUCUUCGGUGACGAAACGAGACGGUAGCCGAGGAGGAAGCCACGGCUAACUACGUGCCAGCAGCCGCGGUAAUACGUAGGUGGCAAGCGUUGUCCGGAAUUACUGGGUGUAAAGGGCGUGCAGCCGGGCUGACAAGUCAGAUGUGAAAUCCCGCGGCUCAACCGCGGAACUGCAUUUGAAACUGUCAGUCUUGAGUACCGGAGAGGUCAUCGGAAUUCCUUGUGUAGCGGUGAAAUGCGUAGAUAUAAGGAAGAACACCAGUGGCGAAGGCGGAUGACUGGACGGCAACUGACGGUGAGGCGCGAAAGCGUGGGGAGCAAACAGGAUUAGAUACCCCGGUA
RNAcentral lists this ribosomal RNA (445 nucleotides) under uncultured bacterium. Its description in RNAcentral is "bacterial SSU rRNA". It matches the Rfam family "Bacterial small subunit ribosomal RNA", at positions 331 to 792 of the family's 1533-position model. The record is from RNAcentral.